UGAGGAAUAUUGGUCAAUGGGUGCAAGCCUGAACCAGCCAUCCCGCGUGAAGGACGACUGCCCUAUGGGUUGUAAACUUCUUUUGUAUAGGGAUAAACCUACCCUCGUGAGGGUAGCUGAAGGUACUAUACGAAUAAGCACCGGCUAACUCCGUGCCAGCAGCCGCGGUAAUACGGAGGGUGCAAGCGUUAUCCGGAUUUAUUGGGUUUAAAGGGUCCGUAGGCGGACUUAUAAGUCAGUGGUGAAAGCCUGUCGCUUAACGAUAGAACUGCCAUGGAUACUGUAAGUCUUGAGUAUAUUUGAGGUAGCUGGAAUAGGUAGUGUAGCGGUGAAAUGCAUAGAUAUUACUUAGAACACCAAUUGCGAAGGCAGGUUACCAAGAUAUAACUGACGCUGAGGGACGAAAGCGUGGGGAGCGAACA
Molecule: ribosomal RNA, 422 nt
Filed under: uncultured bacterium
Lineage: Bacteria
Description: bacterial SSU rRNA
Rfam family: Bacterial small subunit ribosomal RNA
Source: RNAcentral